GACGAACGCUGGCGGCGUGCUUAACACAUGCAAGUCGAACGGAAAGGCCCUGCUUUUGUGGGGCGCUCGAGUGGCGAACGGGUGAGUAACACGUGAGUAACCUCCCCUUGACUUUGGGAUAACUUUAGGAAACUGGGGCUAAUACCGGAUAGGAGCUCCUGCUGCACGGUGGGGGUUGGAAAGAUUCGGCGGUUGGGGAUGGACUCGCGGCUUAUCAGCUUGUUGGUGGGGUAGUGGCUUACCAAGGCUUUGACGGGUAGCCGGCCUGAGAGGGUGACCGGCCACAUUGGGACUGAGAUACGGCCCAGACUCCAACGGGAGGCAGCAGUGGGAAAUAUUGCACAGUGGGCGAAAGCCUGAUACAGCAACGCCGCGUGCGGGAUGACGGCCUUCGAGUUGUAAACCGCUUUCGACUGAAACGAGGCGUGAGUGACGGUAAUGGGUAAAAAAGCACCGGCUAACUACGUG
This 468-nucleotide ribosomal RNA is filed under the name uncultured bacterium. Its description in RNAcentral is "partial 16S ribosomal RNA". It matches the Rfam family "Bacterial small subunit ribosomal RNA", at positions 28 to 507 of the family's 1533-position model. The record is from RNAcentral.